This is an RNA transcript of Manihot esculenta (cassava), 1621 nucleotides long. It is a transcript of the gene named acyl-CoA-binding domain-containing protein 3, with no coding region annotated. The record is from RefSeq and is a predicted model, not a curated record. Lineage: Eukaryota; Viridiplantae; Streptophyta; Magnoliopsida; Malpighiales; Euphorbiaceae. The transcript is spliced from 3 exons.
CUUUGCUCUUCACUGCAAAUAUCCCUUUCCCGGUUCCCCUCAUCUCUCUCUCUCUCUCUCUCUCUGCAAUCAUCUUUUUAUUGUUCCCUUUCUAUAUCUACUGCUAUUUGCUCCUCCAUUUAUCUCCAUAUUCUUCUGCCAUUUUAUCUUCUUUUUCGAUUCUUGGAACGAAGAAACAUGGAGCUGCUUCAAGAGCUCUUUGUCACGGCUAUUGUUGCUGUGCUUUUCUCUUUUAUUAUAGCAAAACUUGUUUCAAUAGCUAUGGCUGGUGGCGAUUCUAAUCGCGACUCACAGCUGUCUAAGAGUCAAAUUAUUAAUCAGAAUGAGAGCAUUUCUGGAAAUGUUGAUGAUAGCAUCGUGGAGGAUUUGCAGCAUUUUGAAAGUUUGAAGGUUCAGGGAAUUAAGAGCGAGAAGAGAGUCGAGUUGGUUGAAGAAGUUUUUCAGCAGGUUGAUGAAUUUGUUGAACCAGUUGAGGUUGAGAAGGUUGGGAAAUUGGUGAACCGAGAUGAAGCAAUUGAAACUGACUGCCGUGAAUUGCCUCCAGAAUCAACCGAAGAAGGUUUAAAGAAAGAGGAAGAGUUGUCGGAGGAUAGGUUGGGGAAGAGCGUAGCAGAGAUUAAACUAAGUAGAGAAGUCGGAGAUGAUAAGAAUGCUAUUGAACAAUCUGACAACGUUAUUGAAGGAAGAUGUUUUAAUGAUAUAGAAAACAGAGAAAUUGAGCCAAUUGGAGUGGAAUUCUCCGUUGAAAAAGAUGUAGUAGAAGAAUCUGAGGAGAUUCGGGUCGUGAAGAGUAGAGGAACGGAAAAGGCUGAAGUGAAGAAAAUAGAGAUUGAUAGCGACGAGGAUGAUUGGGAGGGGAUUGAGAGGAGUGAGUUGGAACAGGUUUUUGCAAAGGCAGUCAAGUUUGUGGAGCACAGAGAUAAGGAUGGAGGUUUGACAAGCGCAGGGAACGAUGUGCAAAUGGAAUUGUAUGGGCUUCAUAAGAUAGCUACCGAGGGGCCCUGCCGCGAGCAGCCUCCUAUGGCUCUCAAAGUUACUGCCCGCGCCAAGUGGCUGAUAGCAACCCAGGACCAGGAUCAUCUGAAGCAACAAGUACCAGUGCUGUGGCUUCAGAGUUAAUUACUCCUUCAUCCUAUCAUCCAAAUAUUGCAGAGGAAAGGUAAGUAUGGAACUUGUUUAUCCAGCUGUUUCUAUUAAGUUUUAUUUUUUUAUUUUACUUUUGUUUUCGUGUAUCAUGUCUCUGUCAAUGUUAUCUCCUGUAGAAACCCAGAGGUGCUGCCUGAUAUUGAGAAAAAUAAUUUUACUGGAGGCCCAAACUCGUAAGACAGGGCUAAAGAUCGAUGAGCACUCUGCACUGUUUGACCUUCGCAAUCACAGGGAGUUUCUCAUUUGCAUGACCACAAACAAGUGAAGAUAAGUCUUAAUUGUCAAGUAAAUUUGCUGCAGGGUUCUUGUCAGUCAUACUAUCAAUUAUUCGACACUAUGUAUAUUCUCUAAAUGUUGUGUUGUGAUAAUAAAGAACAUUAUGUAUUGUGAAUAUCCGCACAUGUAUAUAUGUGUGUCAUUUUAUUCAUUCCCCAGAUGCUUGGGAUUGUCAAUUAUCACAUUGAUGUUGAUGCUC